Molecule: long non-coding RNA, 970 nt
Filed under: Citrus x clementina
Lineage: Eukaryota; Viridiplantae; Streptophyta; Magnoliopsida; Sapindales; Rutaceae
Description: Citrus clementina (C. clementina) long non-coding RNA (CCLE_LNC002825)
Source: RNAcentral
GAAAUGUAGCUCACAUUUUUUAAAUAAAAUUUAAUCUUUACAUACAUAAUAAAUUACUUAAAAUAAAGCUGUUAUCCACACUAAGAUAAGUACAAGAAUUAAUAUUUGACAAUCUCAAUCACGUUAUUCUCAACUAUACGGAUAGAUAUUGACAUGUUCAUAAUUUUCUUCGCAUCGGUCCAAAUGUCUCAAUAAUUAUUCCAUAGCAUUUGUCGUGAUGGGUUUCUUGGAUUUACUAGUCAACACACGUGCGUAUGAACCUGUCUAUGGUACAGCUUCUGUAACAAACAUCUCCCGUCAUCCCACCAUCCGAUUUUCUAUUGUUCAGUUUCUCACUCCACAUCCAACCACAUCCAACGGCUGAUGCUGCAGUCUGUACCUUACAGAUUCUGUAAGCUAGUCGAGUCCUAGAUAUUGACAUGUUCAUAAUUUUCUUAAGGGAGUCCCUAUGUUACAAUUAAUGUAACAUACACACUCAACAACAACCACACAAAUAAUGGACCCACAUAAUUUAUGUGGUUGUUGUUGAAUGUAUAUGUUACAUUAAUUGUAACAUAACAUUUGCCUUUUCUUAAUAAAUAUUGACAUGUUUAUUCAUUGGUCCAAAUGUCUCAAUAAUUAUUCCACAGCAUUUGUCGUGAUGGGUUUCUUGGAUUUACUAGUCAACGUACGUGCGUAUGAACCUGUCAAAAGGAUACUGACAUGUUCAUAAUUUUCUUCGAAUUACGUAAAUUAGUGCUGCCUAUUUUCCAUGUUGAAAUAUGACGUUUUAGCCGUCAGUUUUGACAAUCCAGUACGUGAGAAAAUUAUGAACCUCUCAACGUAUAUUAUCAUAUAUUGUCACUAGGUUGGGUACAUUAUCGCUGCCUGUUUUCCAAGUGAAAAUAUGACGUUUCAGCAUCAGUUGACAAUUUAGUAUGUAAAAAAAUUAUUAUAUAGUAAAUGUUACGUUACGCUUUGUUUUUUUAUU